UACGUAGGGGCGAGCGUUGUCCGGAAUGGACUUGGGCGUUAAAGGGCGUGUAGGCGGCCGGAUUAAGUAUGGAGUGAAAGUUCCAUUUUUCAAGGAUGGAAUUGCUUUGUAGACUGGUUGGCUUGAGUGCGGAAGAGGUAAGUGGAAUUCCCAGUGUAGCGGUGAAAUGCGUAGAGAUUGGGAGGAACACCAGUGGCGAAGGCGACUUACUGGGCCGUAACUGACGCUGAGGCGCGAAAGCGUGGGGAGCGAACAGGAUUAGAUACCCUGGUAGUCCCUGA
This 281-nucleotide ribosomal RNA is filed under the name uncultured prokaryote. Its description in RNAcentral is "partial 16S ribosomal RNA". It matches the Rfam family "Bacterial small subunit ribosomal RNA", at positions 524 to 800 of the family's 1533-position model. The record is from RNAcentral.